This 759-nucleotide ribosomal RNA is filed under the name Bacteroides sp. ES-36. Its description in RNAcentral is "bacterial SSU rRNA". It matches the Rfam family "Bacterial small subunit ribosomal RNA", at positions 12 to 763 of the family's 1533-position model. The record is from RNAcentral. Lineage: Bacteria; Pseudomonadati; Bacteroidota; Bacteroidia; Bacteroidales; Bacteroidaceae.
GUUGAACCUGCUCAGAUGACCCUAGCUACAGGCUUACACAUGCAAGUCGAGGGGCAGCAUGGUCUUAGCUUGCUAAGGCCGAUGGCGACCGGCGCACGGGUGAGUAACACGUAUCCAACCUGCCGUCUACUCUUGGACAGCCUUCUGAAAGGAAGAUUAAUACAAGAUGGCAUCAUGAGUCCGCAUGUUCACAUGAUUAAAGGUAUUCCGGUAGACGAUGGGGAUGCGUUCCAUUAGAUAGUAGGCGGGGUAACGGCCCACCUAGUCUUCGAUGGAUAGGGGUUCUGAGAGGAAGGUCCCCCACAUUGGAACUGAGACACGGUCCAAACUCCUACGGGAGGCAGCAGUGAGGAAUAUUGGUCAAUGGGCGAGAGCCUGAACCAGCCAAGUAGCGUGAAGGAUGACUGCCCUAUGGGUUGUAAACUUCUUUUAUAAAGGAAUAAAGUCGGGUAUGGAUACCCGUUUGCAUGUACUUUAUGAAUAAGGAUCGGCUAACUCCGUGCCAGCAGCCGCGGUAAUACGGAGGAUCCGAGCGUUAUCCGGAUUUAUUGGGUUUAAAGGGAGCGUAGAUGGAUGUUUAAGUCAGUUGUGAAAGUUUGCGGCUCAACCGUAAAAUUGCAGUUGAUACUGGAUAUCUUGAGUGCAGUUGAGGCAGGCGGAAUUCGUGGUGUAGCGGUGAAAUGCUUAGAUAUCACGAAAGAACUCCGAUUGCGAAGGCAGCCUGCUAAGCUNCAACUGACAUUGAGGCUCGAAAGUGNG